UUUGAGGUCUUGUAUUCCUAUA
Molecule: non-coding RNA, 22 nt
Filed under: Arabidopsis thaliana (thale cress)
Lineage: Eukaryota; Viridiplantae; Streptophyta; Magnoliopsida; Brassicales; Brassicaceae
Source: RNAcentral